This 529-nucleotide long non-coding RNA is filed under the name Homo sapiens (human). Its description in RNAcentral is "HSALNT0187646". The record is from RNAcentral. Lineage: Eukaryota; Metazoa; Chordata; Mammalia; Primates; Hominidae.
UCGCCCCUAGCAGGGACCCACCACAGCGCACACGCAAGAGCCGAGGCCGCAGGGCCGGGUGGACAGCGAGCUCUACGGAAACCCGCGCAGUGGGUCAGCCGCCAGCGGCCGCCAGGUCUGAGCGGUUCGGAUCUCGAGCGGUCCCUGUGGCAGCCUCGCCAGGUCACGGCUUCCCGCUCUGGAGAGUUUGUGGUCCCUGUCCUGGGAGGGCUCCGCAGCCGCCAGGGAGGGACUAGACGGACCGCGGCUCCCGGACCGCCGCUUCCGCCCCUGCGCCGCCCUCCCAGCCCAGGCUCUGUGGGGUGGGAUUUCUCCCUUGUGUCAUAGUGGAGGAAACUGAGGCAUAGGGCCAUUGAAUGACAAACUCAGGGAGAUUCUCUGACUGAAAUGCCCUCUAGGUCCCGCAGGUCCCUCCAGGACACAGCAUCCCUUGGGCUGCUGCAUCAGUGGGCUGUUGUCUUGGGCACCCCAAGCUCAACACCAUGUGGGGAUGACGCUGGGGAAUGUGGGGACAGGGAUAUUUGUCCCC